AAAAGUUAUUGUUAAAAAACUAUUUUCCUUGAUGGAGUGUUACGAGGUUUGCGUUAUUCCACUUGUUUGAAUUUGAUGUGAAGGGUGGGAAAGAUGGCAAUCCACCAUAUUUGACGACUAUUUUCUUUGAGACCCAUAAAAAGAUAACAACCUUGUUGAACCUGAAGAAAUUAAAAAACGUGUACCUUUGUUACAUAUAAUAAGUUAAUAGCCAAAAAUUGUUGUGUUUUGAUAGAAAAUGUCCUUUUAAAUAUUUUGUAGGCUCAACUUGAGGAAAUAGUUCAAGAAGAUCCAUCCCCAUCUAUUAUAGAGAUUGUUGAAAAAUGUUGUUGGCCACAAAAUCGUAGACAUGUUUUUGGAUUUGUGGGUGGAGUAAAGGCGAAUGAUUUGAAAGGUGGGACUUCUUCAAAGGCUGAAAUAUUGUCCGCUCUACAUUUAACUCGAGAUGUUAACAAAUUCUUGAAUAAAGAAAAUAAAUCCUUGAAUGAGGAAAAAAAUCCUUGAAUGAUCGCUUGUCUAAAUUUGAAGAUACGAUGAAAGAAACAUUGAAAAUGAAAGAACUCUUUGCUGUUCAACAAUCAGAUGUCGCACCAACAAUAUCAUCUCUUCCAACGAUUUUGAUUGAAUGAUCGCUUGUCUACCUUAGAAGAUGCGAUGAAAGAAAUAUUCAAAAUGAAAGAACUCUUUGCUUCUUAACAAUCAGAUGUCGCACCAACAAUAUCAUCUCUUCAACAUGAUGAAAAUCAUUUUUGUAUUGACAAUAUUUUGUUAAUGUUUCUUAACAACACUCGGGAUCAUUAUCAAAGAUUGCAAAGUCGAUGCCUAUCUUGUGGAUCCCUUUAAUGUCUUUCUAACUUGAGGAUUUACUUUAACGUAUCUCCAUACGUCUCAAGAGGUGAAAUUAUAUGAUGAUGGAGGGUGCAACGUUUACUUUCCCUGAGGAUAUUCAAUUUCAGAAAGUACACAAUCCUUUAUCAACAAAGUAUUAUGAUCUAUAAGACUAUGAUACUGACAUCAAAGGGUACAAAAAUGCGGCAUUAUUUGAGAAAGGUAUUUAUCCCGAGUAUUGCCUUCAUCAAACGUUAGCAUAUGUCAAUGAGACGUCAUCCUAUAAUGUGAUGACUAAUAGUUAGGCUUAUAUUUCUACCAAACAUAGAUGAUAUCAGAAGAUUUUUUUAGAAUUCAAGUCAGGAUUAGAGACUCCUUACAUAUUUUGUUUUAAAAAACGUCAACCGAGCCUAAAAGUCUAAAUCAGUUCUAAUUCUUCUCCAAUUUUGUAUAUAUAAUCGUCAAGGUACUUCCAUCAAAGAAGAGAAUCAUCAUAAGAAUAGGAAUCAGUCGAAAGAGGAGAAAAAUAUUGGGGACUUUCUACUCAUCAAUAUUUAAAUAUGAUAAUAAUUUGUUAUUUCUAUGAUUUUGAGCACAUAUUUAAACAUUCUAAUAGAUAUGACUUUUGCAUUUGCAGAAAAUCUUCUUCAUUUAUUUUUUGUGCAUUUUAAGUG
This is a long non-coding RNA of Solanum lycopersicum (tomato), 1502 nucleotides long. RefSeq lists it as uncharacterized. Lineage: Eukaryota; Viridiplantae; Streptophyta; Magnoliopsida; Solanales; Solanaceae. The record is from RefSeq and is a predicted model, not a curated record.